GGGAUUGCCCUAGUAACGGCGAGUGAAGCGGCAACAGCUCAAAUUUGAAAUCUGGCCCUCGGGUCCGAGUUGUAAUUUGUAGAGGAUGCUUUUGGUGAGGUGCCUUCCGAGUUCCCUGGAACGGGACGCCAUAGAGGGUGAGAGCCCCGUCUGGUUGGACACCGAGCCUCUGUAAAGCUCCUUCGACGAGUCGAGUAGUUUGGGAAUGCUGCUCUAAAUGGGAGGUAUAUGUCUUCUAAAGCUAAAUACCGGCCAGAGACCGAUAGCGCACAAGUAGAGUGAUCGAAAGAUGAAAAGCACUUUGAAAAGAGAGUUAAAAAGUACGUGAAAUUGUUGAAAGGGAAGCGCUUAUGACCAGACUUGGGCUUGGUUGAUCAUCCUGGGUUCUCCCUGGUGCACUCUUCCAGUUCAGGCCAGCAUCAGUUCGCUGCGGGGGAUAAAAGUUUUGGGAAUGUGGCUCCCUCGGGAGUGUUAUAGCCCAUUGCAUAAUACCCUGCUCCGGACUGAGGUUCGCGCAUCUGCAAGGAUGCUGGCGUAAUGGUCAUCAGCGACCCGUCUUGAAACACGGACCAAGGAGUCGUCUUCGUAUGCGAGUGUUCGGGUGUUAAACCCCUACGCGUAAUGAAAGUGAACGCAGGUGAGAGCUUCGGCGCAUCAUCGACCGAUCCUGAUGUUCUCGGAUGGAUUUGAGUAAGAGCAUACGGGGCCGGACCCGAAAGAAGGUGAACUAUGCCUGUAUAGGGUGAAGCCAGAGGAAACUCUGGUGGAGGCUCGCAGCGGUUCUGACGUGCAAAUCGAUCGUCAAAUAUGGGCAUGGGGGCGAAAGACUAAUCGAACCUUCUAGUAGCUGGUUUCCCCAAU
RNAcentral lists this ribosomal RNA (861 nucleotides) under Calonectria pini. Its description in RNAcentral is "LSU rRNA". It matches the Rfam family "Eukaryotic large subunit ribosomal RNA", at positions 71 to 964 of the family's 3401-position model. Lineage: Eukaryota; Fungi; Ascomycota; Sordariomycetes; Hypocreales; Nectriaceae. The record is from RNAcentral.